RNAcentral lists this long non-coding RNA (1122 nucleotides) under Piliocolobus tephrosceles (Ugandan red Colobus). RNAcentral's name for it is "lncRNA (ENSPTEG00000032696.1)". The record is from RNAcentral. Lineage: Eukaryota; Metazoa; Chordata; Mammalia; Primates; Cercopithecidae.
GCCACAGGGGCGGGUGGCCGUCUCCAGCAGGCAGAGCCCCCAGUGGGCCACGCUCACAGCUGGUGUUCGGAUCCGGGCCCCGGGCCUGGUGCCCGCUUCCCUUUCUCUCUUCCACCUGGGCCUUUCCACAGACGCCCCCUUCCCCCAGGCCGGCUUAGCCUUGAAUGACACACCUGGUGAAAGUUAAGUUAAAUAUAACAUUGAUUUGAUUUGAAUGAAAACACCUGCGGCUUCUGAAGGCACCACCACCUGACGUGUGACCCCCAUGGACGGACAGGUGACCCCUCCCCCUUCUGUCUCCCUUCCCUCCCCUGCGGGCACCCGGGGCUAGAGCUUGAGCUCCUGCAGGGCGGUGCUGGGGGCUAGAGCUUGAGCUCCUGCAGGGCGGUGCUGGGGCGAUCACACGCACAGCACAGCUUCUGCCUGCGCGCGAGAGGCAGGAGAGCGCCCUGCCUUGGGGCGCAGGGGGUGGUCCCGGCGUCCCUGUGCCCUCAGAGGCCACCUAAGCUCCAGAGCCUCCGUUUCCUCGUCUGUAAAGUGCAGUCGCCCCGAAGCCGGGAGGACCGCCUUCCAGUGGGCCUGGAAAUCAUCGCCUCCAGGGGGAUUUCUAGCAGCUGCUGAUGUUUUCUGAGCUCACCGCCCCAUCCGUGUGUCACUGAAGGGCUUGUUUCCUCGCCACCCUUGCCGUUCUUUCCUGUCCCCCUCAUUCUUAAUCUCGCUGCCCACCGAUUUGACAUCUGAAAGCAUUUCAAGAUGUUUUUCUUCUGAGACUCAGCAGACAGUCUGCCUUGUUUUCCCGUGAGGCUCCGAUCGCUGGGCCAGGUCCUCUGGCUCCUCCUGAGUGUCUGGGAGAGACAAAGUCAGUGGAAGUUAGGAGGUGAAGUGUGCUCCAGAGAUGAGGCUGAAAAAAAUUUCUGAAAUAACUUUUGUUAUCCUUUGGCUGAAAAUAAUGACUGUUUUGGGGGUUAAGCGACAAGAUUGAGGCCUCCUUUCAAAAAGCAAGUCGUCCUUGUGCUGUGAUCAUGAACGUCCGGCAGGCGCAGCCCCAAGGACGAGUGCAGCUGGGGGUGCUGGGCUUCGAGGCCUUCAAGAGCUCCUUGUUCUUCAAAUGCUGCGGCUUAG